CAUAGCCACGGGAAUACAGAGGGUGCGAGCGUUAAUCGGAUUUACUGGGCGUAAAGCGUGCGUAGGCGGCUUCUUAAGUCGGAUGUGAAAUCCCUGAGCUUAACUUAGGAAUUGCAUUCGAUACUGGGAAGCUAGAGUAUGGGAGAGGAUGGUAGAAUUCCAGGUGUAGCGGUGAAAUGCGUAGAGAUCUGGAGGAAUACCGAUGGCGAAGGCAGCCAUCUGGCCUAAUACUGACGCUGAGGUACGAAAGCAUGGGGAGCAAACAGGAUUAGAUACCCCCGUAGUCCCUGUCUCUUAUACA
This 301-nucleotide ribosomal RNA is filed under the name uncultured bacterium. Its description in RNAcentral is "partial 16S ribosomal RNA". It matches the Rfam family "Bacterial small subunit ribosomal RNA", at positions 510 to 808 of the family's 1533-position model. The record is from RNAcentral.